This 253-nucleotide ribosomal RNA is filed under the name uncultured bacterium. RNAcentral describes it as "partial 16S ribosomal RNA". It matches the Rfam family "Bacterial small subunit ribosomal RNA", at positions 524 to 776 of the family's 1533-position model. The record is from RNAcentral.
UACGAAGGGGGCUAGCGUUGCUCGGAAUUACUGGGCGUAAAGGGUGCGUAGGCGGGUUUUUAAGUCAGUGGUGAAAUCCUGGAGCUCAACUCCAGAACUGCCUUUGAUACUGAAGAUCUUGAGUUCGGGAGAGGGGAGUGGAACUGCGAGUGUAGAGGUGAAAUUCGUAGAUAUUCGCAGGAACACCAGUGGCGAAGGCGGCUCACUGGCCCGAUACUGACGCUGAGGCACGAAAGCGUGGGGAGCAAACAGG